Molecule: ribosomal RNA, 256 nt
Filed under: uncultured fungus
Lineage: Eukaryota; Fungi
Description: partial 18S small subunit ribosomal RNA
Source: RNAcentral
UUGGUUUGUACUGUCCUGACUGGGUCUUACCUUCUGGUGAGCUGUCGUGUUGUUUACUCAGCGCGGAGGGGAACCAGGACUUUUACUUUGAAACAACAUUAGAGUGUUUCAAAGCAGGCAUUCGCUUGAAUACAUUAGCAUGGAAUAAUAGAAUAGGACUUUGGUUCUAUUUUGGUUGGGUCCUCUAGGGACCGGAAGUAAAUGAUUAAUAGGGAUAAGUUGGGGGCAUUAAGUAUUUAAUUUGUCCAGAGGGUGA